Molecule: unclassified non-coding RNA, 253 nt
Filed under: uncultured Anaerolineales bacterium
Lineage: Bacteria; Bacillati; Chloroflexota; Anaerolineae; Anaerolineales
Description: contains 16S-23S intergenic spacer region
Rfam family: Bacterial small subunit ribosomal RNA
Source: RNAcentral
AACGUAGGAGGCGAGCGUUAUCCGGAUUUACUGGGCGUAAAGCGUGUGCAGGCGGUUUGGUAAGUCGGACGUGAAAGCUCCUGGCUCAACUGGGAGAGGCCGUUCGAUACUGCCAGACUUGAGGGCAGCAGAGGGAGGUGGAAUUCAGGGUGUAGCGGUGAAAUGCGUAGAUAUCCUGAGGAACACCAGUGGCGAAGGCGGCCUCCUGGACUGUCCCUGACGCUAAGACACGAAAGCUAGGGGAGCAAACGGG